CAGCCGCCGCGGUAAUACGAAGGGUGCAAGCGUUAAUCGGAAUUACUGGGCGUAAAGCGCACGCAGGCGGUUUGUUAAGUCAGAUGUGAAAUCCCCGAGCUUAACUUGGGAACUGCAUUUGAAACUGGCAAGCUAGAGUCUUGUAGAGGGGGGUAGAAUUCCAGGUGUAGCGGUGAAAUGCGUAGAGAUCGGAAGGAACAUCUGUGGCGAAGGCGACUAUCUGGGCCAACACUGACACUGAGGCACGAAAGCGUGGGGAGCAAACAGGAUUAGAUACCCCUGUAGUCCCUGUCUCUUAUAC
Molecule: ribosomal RNA, 301 nt
Filed under: uncultured bacterium
Lineage: Bacteria
Description: partial 16S ribosomal RNA
Rfam family: Bacterial small subunit ribosomal RNA
Source: RNAcentral